UACGUAGGGCGCAAGCGUUGUCCGGAUUUAUUGGGCGUAAAGCGCGUGUAGGCGGCCAGAUAGGUCUGCUGUGAAAACUCGAGGCUCAACCUCGAGCUGUCGGCGGAAACCAUCUGGCUAGAGUCCGGAAGAGGAGAGUGGAAUUCCUGGUGUAGCGGUGAAAUGCGCAGAUAUCAGGAAGAACACCUAUGGCGAAGGCAGCUCUCUGGGACGGUACUGACGCUGAGACGCGAAAGCGUGGGGAGCGAACAGG
RNAcentral lists this ribosomal RNA (253 nucleotides) under uncultured bacterium. RNAcentral's name for it is "partial 16S ribosomal RNA". It matches the Rfam family "Bacterial small subunit ribosomal RNA", at positions 524 to 776 of the family's 1533-position model. The record is from RNAcentral.